CAGUAGCCGCGGUAAUACGGAGGGGGCUAGCGUUGUUCGGAAUUACUGGGCGUAAAGCGCACGUAGGCGGCUUGGUAAGUUAGAGGUGAAAGCCUGGAGCUCAACUUCAGAAUUGCCUUUAAGACUGCCGAGCUAGUAGGUGAGAGAGGUAAGUGGAAUUCCGAGUGUAGAGGUGAAAUUCGUAGAUAUUCGGAAGAACACCAGUGGCGAUGGCGGCUUACUGGCUCAUUCUAGACGCUGAGGUGCGAAAGCGUGGGGAGCAAACAGGAUUAGAUACCCCGGUAGUCCCUGUCUCUUAUAU
RNAcentral lists this ribosomal RNA (301 nucleotides) under uncultured bacterium. RNAcentral's name for it is "partial 16S ribosomal RNA". It matches the Rfam family "Bacterial small subunit ribosomal RNA", at positions 509 to 809 of the family's 1533-position model. The record is from RNAcentral.